This 247-nucleotide ribosomal RNA is filed under the name uncultured bacterium. RNAcentral's name for it is "partial small subunit ribosomal RNA". It matches the Rfam family "Bacterial small subunit ribosomal RNA", at positions 26 to 286 of the family's 1533-position model. The record is from RNAcentral.
AGAAUCAACGCUGGCGGCGUGCCUAACACAUGCAAGUCGAACGAGAAAGGGUAGGCAAUACCUGAGUAAAGUGGCGCACGGGUGAGUAACACGUGACUAACCUACCCUGGAGUGGGGGAUAACUGAGGGAAACCUUAGCUAAUACCGCAUAACACCUACGGGUCAAAGGAGCAAUUCGCUUCAGGAGGGGUCGCGGCCGAUUAGUUAGUUGGCCGGGGUAAUGGCCCACCAAGACAGUGAUCGGUAU